Molecule: ribosomal RNA, 421 nt
Filed under: uncultured beta proteobacterium
Lineage: Bacteria; Pseudomonadati; Pseudomonadota; Betaproteobacteria
Description: bacterial SSU rRNA
Rfam family: Bacterial small subunit ribosomal RNA
Source: RNAcentral
UGAUAUCUGAUUAGCUAGUUGGUGAGGUAAAGGCUCACCAAGGCGACGAUCAGUAGCUGGUCUGAGAGGACGACCAGCCACACUGGAACUGAGACACGGUCCAGACUCCUACGGGAGGCAGCAGUGGGGAAUUUUGGACAAUGGGGGCAACCCUGAUCCAGCCAUUCCGCGUGAGUGAAGAAGGCCUUCGGGUUGUAAAGCUCUUUCGCAAGGGAAGAAACGAUACAGGCGAAUAACUUGUGUUAAUGACGGUACCUUGAUAAGAAGCACCGGCUAACUACGUGCCAGCAGCCGCGGUAAUACGUAGGGUGCGAGCGUUAAUCGGAAUUACUGGGCGUAAAGCGUGCGCAGGCGGUUUUGUAAGACAGGCGUGAAAUCCCCGGGCUUAACCUGGGAACUGCGUUUGAAACUACAAGGCUAG